Molecule: ribosomal RNA, 552 nt
Filed under: Acanthopagrus latus (yellowfin seabream)
Lineage: Eukaryota; Metazoa; Chordata; Actinopteri; Spariformes; Sparidae
Description: partial 16S ribosomal RNA
Rfam family: Bacterial large subunit ribosomal RNA
Source: RNAcentral
CGCCUCUUGCAAAAUAAAUGAAUAAGAGGUCCCGCCUGCCCUGUGACUAUAUGUUCAACGGCCGCGGUAUUUUGACCGUGCGAAGGUAGCGCAAUCACUUGUCUUUUAAAUGAAGACCUGUAUGAAUGGCAUCACGAGGGCUUAGCUGUCUCCCCCUCCCAGUCAAUGAAAUUGAUUUUCCCGUGCAGAAGCGGGAAUAAGAACAUAAGACGAGAAGACCCUAUGGAGCUUAAGACGCCAGGACAGCUCAUGUUAAACACCCCAGAACAAAGGGAAUAAACUUAGUGAAACCCUGCCCUAGUGUCUUUGGUUGGGGCGACCACGGGGAAAAACUUAACCCCCAUGCGGAAUAGGAAUACUAUUUUCCUAGACUCAAGAGCUCCCGCUCUAAUAGACAGAAUUUCUGACCAAAAGGAUCCGGCAAUGCCGAUCAACGGACCGAGUUACCCUAGGGAUAACAGCGCAAUCCUCUUUAAGAGUCCCUAUCGACAAGAGGGUUUACGACCUCGAUGUUGGAUCAGGACAUCCUAAUGGUGCAGCCGCUAUUAAGGG